CCUUAAGUGAUAUAUCAAGACAGGGAUUGUAGAUUAGCAGAAUGUUUAGUGGGCCUGAGUCAAAGGUGACAGUCACUCCCAGAUGCUCUAAUCCACCACCUGUGAAAGAAGGGAUAGAGAGAGGGCUUGAGGGAAGGGACUGGUGGAUCAGUAGAAGUAGGCCGCCUCCUACUUCGCUGGUCUCCCUGUCCUUCCUGUAGGAAGUAUAGUUUGGAAAGGAGGGGAAGAAUGGGUCUGUGAGCCACGUCUCACAGACACCGACAAUGAGAGGAGAGUAUGAGGAGAGCGUGGUUUUAAAAGUUGGAAGUUUCCUGUACAAAGACCGGGCAUUCCAGAAAAUGAAGCUGGAGACAAUUGGAUCACUCACUGCGUGAGUGAUGUGAUGUAGGAGAGGAGUCCUGGCAGGCAUCAAAGGAGGCUCUCGCUGAAGCUAUGCCCUGAAAGCAGGAAGUUAAAGAAAUUGAGUGCUCUUGGUGCUAAUCCCUUAAUAAAAGCAGGCCAUGCAAAACCCGAAGCAUGCUGGGCCGGAGGCGAGGAAGAGGAUGGUACAAAGUCUGCACUACCAAGUGAGGGCAAGGAUUGCUGGGCUGCUGGCUGUGGGGCUUUUGGCUGGGGAACCUUUGGUGGGUGGCAUUGGUGUAGAGUGGUUGGGGGUAUGAAUUCCCCAGCAUCUGACAGGUCAGUUCGGUAGGGGCCCUCGGGGAUGAAGGAGGGUCUGGUGGUGUGUCGUGGUGUGACUUUGUGGUAUGGUUUGUGGUGGUGGUGGCUCCGUUGGGCCUUGGGUGAGGGAGGCUGGGCGGUUAGUGGUACCACAUUAAUAAUGGGGCUCAGGGGCUGGAUGGGAGCAGGAGUAGGAUCAGGAGUGGGAGCGGGGAUGGAUGUUGGGUGAGGAGCAAGGGUGGGGGCAGAGGUGGGGACUUCAGGUGUGUGAGGGCAAGUGAGGUGUAGGGGGAAAGUUGAGGAUUGCCUGGUUUGGGAGGUGUGUAUUUUGGAGCAGGGUUUGGUGGGCGAAAAAUGCCUGGGAGGAUACCUCUCAUUUUUCGUUUCACAUCUAGGAGAGAGUGGGCCCCGCCAUGCUGCAGUUCUUGCAGCUGCACUGCCUGGAGGCGAGCCGGGCACUGUUUGGAGGUGGGGCGGUGGCCAGAACCACAAAAGAAACAGUGGUCCUCCCUGACACAACCAUCAGUGUCAUGGUAACCACUGCAUUUCUUGCAUCGGGCACGCCCAUUGCAGGAAAUGUUGCUGUGGCCAAACAGGAGGCAACGGGUGCAGCGCAGGACUGGGAGGGUGUGGGGCCUAACAUGGUAAACCAUGUUUCCUAGGGCCACCCUUUCAGGGAAGGGGCCCACUGAAUUUUAGGCGAAUGGCCAGGUUCGGGACUGUCUGUCUGUCCUUGUCAUGGUCUGGGAGUCAUAAAACGUCAACAAUCUGAGUGGGGCUGCCAUCUAGGAUGGUUAUCUGGGUCAUGAUGUCAUGUUUAGUCAUGUCGGGGGAAACAGGGUAAAUUCUACCAAAUUGUCAGUGGCCACCCUGCACUUAACAGGCCACUCUCCCAGUCGGGUUACUGACUCUGGGGCCUGUUCCAGGUGAUCAAGGUUGGCCACCUCAAACUUAAUUCCUCGGCCACCUCCAGUGAUGGCCAAGGUUUGCUCUAUGUAUUUUUUGGCAAAGAUUGAGCCACACACAGCCCUGGAGACCUUGGAUGGGUGGAUGAAGCACCUACUGCCAUCAAGAAAGCGAAUGAGUACCACCUGCUUACAAGUGGGGGGCGGGUGUGGGGGCCCAGCAGACUCAGCAGUGCGAGAAGGGGUAGAGGCGGUCACACAAGCGUAGGAGCAGGUUGUGUAAUAUAAAGUGAAUUGUUAAUCUAUUAAGUUCAUGUUAAGUUCAUGUAUCUCGCUGAGCUCGAGGUUUGCUUCACAGCCCUCUUUAGCAGGUGAUAAGUUUGCCUGCCUUGCACUCACUGGUCAGUCGGCCUCCUGCUCUCUCUCCUCGAGCACUGUCAAGAUUUAGUCGAAUAAAGCCUAGCUUGAAGGCUAUUCCUUGUCUUCUUACGGACAUAUAUAACAAUUUAUUCGACUACAUCUUCUACUGGGACGAGCUACGAUGGAGAAGUUCCUUCGGCCUGAGAGGUUGGAAGCUCACCCUGACACCAGCCCUCUACAGUGGCAGCAUUGGUUCAGCACAUUCACCAACUUCCUGCAAUCCAUCGAGCAACCGUCUGAUACUACUAAGUUCCGGCUCCUCAUCAACUAUGUGUCUCCCUCAGUGUACUCCUACAUUGCAGAUUGCAAGACCUACGACAAAGCUAUCAAGACUCUACAAGCUGUAUUUGUAAAACCUACUAGUGAAGUGUUUGCUCGUCAUCAGUUGGCCACCAGGAAACAACAGGAUAGUGAAUCCGUAGACCAGUAUGUGCUAGCACUCAAGCUAAUGGCCAAAGACUGUGCAUUUAAGGCCGUUACUGCCGAAAAGUAUGCUGAAGAGGCCGUGCGUGACUCAUUUAUCUCUGGUCUCUCCUCUUCUGUCAUUCGUCAGCGGCUGUUAGAAAAGCUGUCCCUCACCCUUGAAGAAGCCGUUCAACAAGCUCGCAGCUUGGAACUGGCACAACACAACGCUGAUAAGUAUGCCUCUCUCUCUUCCUCCGACUGUCAUUCCACGGCUGUAGCUGUUACCGACCCUCGAGUGUUUAAUGAUAAUGAGGAAGUUACAGCUUCAGCUAAAACCACUGCUGCUACGAAAAAUUCUUUCUAUUGUGAGCGCUCCCUACAUCCUCGCUACACUUGUCCUGCUCGCAACGCUACUUGCCACAAGUGUGGGAGGAAAGGCCACUAUGCUAGUGUUUGCCAGGCUGGAGCGGGGCGGAACAGGCCUGGUACUUCCGCGGCGAUUGUGUCGUCCAUGACUACGAGUGCUGCUUCGACUUCACCCCUUCGCUGUGCGACGACACCUGCUGACAUCAAUGAGAUAGCUGUACUGGCGUCGUAUAUAGCUGCUGCCGAGGAGGGCAGGGAAGCAUCUCUGGAGCCGUCCGUGUAGAUCUUGAGGUGGUGGUGAUAAAUGGACCGGUCCAGCUGUUGGAAGUGGGCUGCUGCUAAUCCACUCACAGAUGGUUUGGGAGGAAGCCCAGGAACGUGGAGAGCAAAAUUAUGGGUGACGUCCAGCCAUGAAGGAAAAGGAGGUGCGGAGAUAACUGAUGUGAUUUACCCAGGAGAGGCGAGGGCCAUCCAGCCGCAGUCCGAGGAGGGUGUGUGAGGUUGAGUAUGGAACAGCCUCCCCACUUAAGUUGACGGGUCAGCCAGUGGGGUAGAAUCAUCAUCAGAAAAUGGGAUGUUCUGAGAUACCAACUUGCCCUCCAUGGAGCGGAGAAAGGACAUGGUACUCUUGGGAGAGGAGCGGAAGGAGAGAGUGGAGCAGUGCAGGUCCCAUGCAUUUCGCUUUGCCUUGAGGAUGGUCUUGGCACAGAUGGCGUCCAGGCGGCGGUAAGCACGGCCAGCCUGGAUA
This is an RNA transcript of Portunus trituberculatus (swimming crab), 3504 nucleotides long. RefSeq lists it as uncharacterized. The transcript is spliced from 4 exons. NCBI's taxonomy places the organism in Eukaryota, Metazoa, Arthropoda, Malacostraca, Decapoda, Portunidae. The record is from RefSeq and is a predicted model, not a curated record.